RNAcentral lists this ribosomal RNA (472 nucleotides) under uncultured bacterium. RNAcentral's name for it is "bacterial SSU rRNA". It matches the Rfam family "Bacterial small subunit ribosomal RNA", at positions 335 to 799 of the family's 1533-position model. The record is from RNAcentral.
ACUCCUACGGGAGGCAGCAGUGGGGAAUAUUGGACAAUGGGCGCAAGCCUGAUCCAGCAAUACCGCGUGUGUGAAGAAGGCCUUCGGGUUGUAAAGCACUUUCAGCAGCGAGGAAAGUUUAUUCGUUAAUAGCGGAUAGAAUUGACGUUAGUUGCAGAAGAAGCACCGGCUAACUCUGUGCCAGCAGCCGCGGUAAUACAGAGGGUGCAAGCGUUAAUCGGAGUUACUGGGCGUAAAGGGCGCGUAGGUGGCUUGUUAAGCCAGAUGUGAAAGCCCCGGGCUCAACCUGGGAACUGCAUUUGGAACUGGCAGGCUAGAGUUUUGUAGAGGGUGGUAGAAUUUCAGGUGUAGCGGUGAAAUGCGUAGAGAUCUGAAGGAAUACCGGUGGCGAAGGCGACCACCUGGCCAAUAACUGACACUGAGACGCGAAGGCGUGGGUAGCAAACGGGAUUAGAUACCCUGGUAGGCUCUG